RNAcentral lists this ribosomal RNA (253 nucleotides) under uncultured bacterium. Its description in RNAcentral is "partial 16S ribosomal RNA". It matches the Rfam family "Bacterial small subunit ribosomal RNA", at positions 524 to 776 of the family's 1533-position model. The record is from RNAcentral.
UACGGAGGGUGCGAGCGUUGUCCGGAAUCACUGGGCGUAAAGGGCGCGUAGGCGGCUCAUGAAGGCUGUGGUGAAAGUCCGGGGCUCAACCUCGGAUCGGCCGUGGCGACUCGUGGGCUGGAGCACUGUAGAGGCGGGUGGAAUUCCGGGUGUAGCGGUGGAAUGCGUAGAGAUCCGGAAGAACACCGGUGGCGAAGGCGGCCUGCUGGGCAGUGGCUGACGCUGAGGCGCGACAGCGUGGGGAGCAAACAGG